This 927-nucleotide ribosomal RNA is filed under the name Halomonas sp. 32(2010). RNAcentral describes it as "bacterial SSU rRNA". It matches the Rfam family "Bacterial small subunit ribosomal RNA", at positions 58 to 982 of the family's 1533-position model. The record is from RNAcentral. Lineage: Bacteria; Pseudomonadati; Pseudomonadota; Gammaproteobacteria; Oceanospirillales; Halomonadaceae.
CAAGUCGAGCGGUAACAGAUCCAGCUUGCUGGAUGCUGACGAGCGGCGGACGGGUGAGUAAUGCAUAGGAAUCUGCCCGAUAGUGGGGGAUAACCUGGGGAAACCCAGGCUAAUACCGCAUACGUCCUACGGGAGAAAGGGGGCUCCGGCUCCCGCUAUGGGAUGAGCCUAUGUCGGAUUAGCUGGUUGGUGAGGUAACGGCUCACCAAGGCCACGAUCCGUAGCUGGUCUGAGAGGAUGAUCAGCCACAUCGGGACUGAGACACGGCCCGAACUCCUACGGGAGGCAGCAGUGGGGAAUAUUGGACAAUGGGGGAAACCCUGAUCCAGCCAUGCCGCGUGUGUGAAGAAGGCCCUCGGGUUGUAAAGCACUUUCAGCGAGGAAGAACGCCUAGCGGUUAAUACCCGCUAGGAAAGACAUCACUCGCAGAAGAAGCACCGGCUAACUCCGUGCCAGCAGCCGCGGUAAUACGGAGGGUGCAAGCGUUAAUCGGAAUUACUGGGCGUAAAGCGCGCGUAGGUGGCUUGAUAAGCCGGUUGUGAAAGCCCCGGGCUCAACCUGGGAACGGCAUCCGGAACUGUCAAGCUAGAGUGCAGGAGAGGAAGGUAGAAUUCCCGGUGUAGCGGUGAAAUGCGUAGAGAUCGGGAGGAAUACCAGUGGCGAAGGCGGCCUUCUGGACUGACACUGACACUGAGGUGCGAAAGCGUGGGUAGCAAACAGGAUUAGAUACCCUGGUAGUCCACGCCGUAAACGAUGUCGACCAGCCGUUGGGUGCCUAGCGCACUUUGUGGCGAAGUUAACGCGAUAAGUCGACCGCCUGGGGAGUACGGCCGCAAGGUUAAAACUCAAAUGAAUUGACGGGGGCCCGCACAAGCGGUGGAGCAUGUGGUUUAAUUCGAUGCAACGCGAAGAACCUUACCUACUCUU